Oncorhynchus keta (chum salmon) is the source of this 5629-nucleotide RNA transcript. It is a transcript of the gene named tight junction protein ZO-3-like, with no coding region annotated. The record is from RefSeq and is a predicted model, not a curated record. Lineage: Eukaryota; Metazoa; Chordata; Actinopteri; Salmoniformes; Salmonidae. The transcript has 30 exons.
UGUGUCAGCCAGACCAGAGGUGACUCAGCCAUAUUCUGUCAGCAGGUUGUUGUUGGAACCAAACAGGAUGUUGCUGUUUUGUCAUGAAUCUGACACAGGUGCUGAAACUCGUGGCUUAUUCAGUGUCACCACCGGAACCGGAGAUGGAGGAAUUAACGAUAUUCGAGCAGCAUACUAUAACACUCGGCAAAGAUUCCAAGAUGGGGUUUGGCUUUGCGAUAUCAGGAGGCAGAGACCAGCCGAACCCGGACUCAGGGGACACAGCCGUGAUAGUUUCAGAUGUGGUACGGAACGGACCCGCUAUGGGACGGCUGUUCGUCAGAGAUCAGAUCGUCAUGGUCAAUGGCGUGUCAAUGGAGAAUGUCUACUCUACCUUCACCAUCCAGAACCUCAAGUCAUGUGGCAAAACAGCCAACAUAACAGUGAAGCGUCCUCGUAAGAUCCAGCUCCCCGCCAGCACCAGACCCUCGCGUGCUGCCUCUUACUCCAACCUGCUGGACCAGGACCCCCCACAGAGGCCCCGACGCUACUCCGAUGCUAGUGACCAGGCCCACAAAGCUGACCGCAACGGAACCGCUCAUGCCCUACCGCUAAGUUCAGGGUACAAACGGCUCCCACAGCAGGCCUUCCCAGACAAGCCAAUCAAAGCCACCCUGCUGAAGAAGAAACUCACAGACGAGUAUGGACUGAAGUUGGGAAGCCAGAUCUUCAUCAAACACAUGACUGAGACUGGUCUGGCUGCCAAGGAGGGCACUCUGCAGGAGGGAGACCUCAUUCUCAAGAUCAAUGGGAUGACCACAGAGAACCUGUCCCUUCUGGAGACCAAGCACCUUGUGGAGAAGUCCCGGGGAAAGCUGACCAUGAUGGUCCUGCGAGACGACCGCAAGUUCCUGGUCAGCAUCCCAGAAGUGCAGGACAGUGCCCCCAACAGCGAGGAGGACCACCGCGGCAACAGCAGCUCUGAACUGGAGGACAUUUCAGACCUGGAUACAGACAUCCCCACUCCCAGAGACAGAGUGUCACGCUCUGCAACUAGAGAACGACGCACACGCAGAAGAGCUGAUCCUCCUCUAGUAGUUAAGUCACGUGAUCCGUCCCCGGUGCGGUCGACACUGUCCCGGCCUGUUGCUAAAGCCUACCCCUCUCACCGAGCCCUCUCAGAGUCUGAGUCUGACCGUAGUGCAUCACCAACUCCUGUCAGGAAGGACAGCCCAGACCAUGCCAACAAAUACAGAACUCUUUCAGGGCUGUCCACCCUCCCCAACCCCAAAGCCUCACCUGCCGUCUUUGACUGGGUCGCCCCACGUUCCUCCCGUCCCUCCUCCUCCACCUUGAGACCUCGCAAAGUGGUGUCAGAGUCGGACUCGGACCGCAGUGCCUCCCCACCCCCCAGAAGAGGAGAGAGUUCCCGAGUCAUAGAGGACUACUCCAGAUACAGAGUGCUCCCUAACCUGCCCCACCCUAGGACACUGAGAGCCUCCCCCAUCACCAUUCGUCAGGAUCCUCCUCGACGGGUGUCCUCUCCUGUCAAAGCCCCACUCCCAGAUUCUGAAUCUGAGUCAGACAGCAGCUCCGGGCCCGCCCACAGCCAGGACUCCCGGAGCAGAUACAGAGCCACUCCCUUGGUAGCCAUGUUUCCCCAGGUGGAGCCCCCCAAGUGGAAAGCCCCCAGUGUCACAAGGAGCAAUCCUGCUAAAGGGCACUCAGGAUCCGAGUCGGAGGCAAGUUACGCAUCCGUCCCUCGACGGGAGUCUAUAGACAGUGGAGGCUCCAUCUCCAGGGUAUCCAAGAACAGAUACAGAGCUCUGCCUGAGAUGAAGUCUUCUCCAGCUCCAGUAGUGAGACAGGACCCCCCUCGACAAGGCAUGACCUCCUCCAGUCCAGUCUCAGGUUCCUCUGAUUCGGACCGUACACCCUCACCCCCUAGGAGGUCUGGGAGUACAGAUGUGGAGAGAAACCACAGUAUUCCACACAGAGUCAAUGGCAAUGUCCGCACUGGGAUAUCAAUGAAGAGCAACCAUCCAGUCUACUCCAAGACAGAGGAACCCCUCUACUCCCUACCCCCAGACUCCAUUCCUACACCUAACUUGGGCUCAGAUCUGAACACAGUGUCGUUUGUGAAGGAGGGGAGCGUUGGUCUGAGACUGGUGGGAGGCAACGAUGUGGGCAUCUUUGUGGAUGGGGUUCAGCCCAACAGCCCCGCUCAGGAGCAGGGUAUGAAGGAGGGGGACCAGAUCAUGCAGGUGAAUGGGGUGGACUUUGGUUAUUUCAACCGUGAGGAAGCUGCAAUGUUCCUGAUCAACAUCAAGAGAGGGGAGCCGGUCAACAUCCGUACUCAGAACAAGAUGGACAUUUACAAGAAGAUCCUGAAGUCCAACCUGGGGGACUCGUUCUACGUCCGGACCCACUAUGACAAUGUGGCGGAGGGCGACAUCGGCCUAGCCUUCACCAGGGGAGAGGUGUUCAGGGUGGUGGACACCAUGCACAGGGGCAAGCUGGGAAAGUGGCUGGCUAUACGCAUGGGCAACGACCUGCAUGAGCUGGACAAGGGCACCAUCCCCAACCAGGUCAGGGCCGAAACUCUGGCCAGAAUGGAGCAGGCUCAGAGGGCCAGUGGAGAAGGGGAUCGCCAGGUAUCAGGGCCCAGGGUAGAGUUCUGGAAACUACGGGGGCUCAGAGGGGCCAAGAAGAACGUCCGCAGGACUCAUGAUGACCUGCUCCAGCUUACCAUCCAGGGCAAAUUCCCAGCAUAUGAGAGAGUUCUGCUCAGAAAAGCUAAUUUCAAACGGCCAAUCGUCAUCAUGGGUCCUCUGAACGAUGUGGCCAUGGAGAAGCUGGCCAGAGAGAUGCCUGAUGAAUAUGAGGUGGCAGAGAUGGCUCCUCGUAGUAGUGGCGCAGACACUACUUCCACGGUCAUCAAGCUGGACACAGUACAAAGGAUUGCAGAGAAGAACAAGCACCCUCUGCUGGACAUUACUCCUACUGCCGUGGAGCGUCUGAACUACAUCCAGUACCACCCCAUGGUUCUGUUCCUGGACCCACACAGCAGGAAGGACGUCAAGGUCAUGAGGCAGAGGAUGUGCCCCAACUCUAACAAGAGCUCUAGACGCCUCUACACACAGGCCCUCAAGAUGAGGAAGCACUGCAGCCAUCUGUUCACAGCUCGUAUUGAUCUCCAGCCCAGCUCUAAUGUGUGGUAUGAGACUGUGAAAGACAAGAUCAGACACCAGCAGGCCAAACCUGUUUGGGACUCAGAAGUCACGUUGGAGGGAGGCGGAGAGGAGGAGCUGGAUGCAUUGGACCGGACCCACUCGGACUACCUGAGUGCUGCCAGCGAACUGGAGGACACAGACAGAGAGGUCUACACUGAUAAUGAGGACCUGGAGGAACCAUUUGAUCCCAGCAAUCAGCCCCGGAUGUCCAGGGUAACGGCUCUGGCCCGGUCUUCAGAACCUGCCUCUGAGUACCCCUCCCCCGAGUCCCUGAGAGAGGUUCCACCCCUGAUGCAUGUGUCUGAGCCCAGAUCGACCCGUCGUCCAUCUGACAGCCCUCCCCACGUUGACGUUGCUGAUGAAAUCCGACCCUAUCAUAGCUUCUCAGAUUCGGACUUCAGGGCCAUUGACCAGGCUGUUCCGACCACCCCCUCGGACACAGCCCCUGACCCCAGAGUCUCUGUGCGUGAGCCCCCAUUGGCUGAACUGCUGCCAGAGAGCCCCCCAGCUGUCACACUGUCGGUAAUAGAGAAGAAACUUCAACAGGUACUGGUGGGACUGUCACAGUUCAGCAUAGCACAAACUCUUACAGAUCCUCUAACUCGCAGUUUCCUUCCAAAGGCUAAAUUACUCUUAACUUGGUCUCCAGUGAUUUUGACUCAUGACCUCUUUCCCUCUUUCAGACCCGUAUGGCAGAAUCUCAGGAGAGGAAAGCGUCUCCAUUGUUCAUUGUGAUUGCAGCGUUAGAGCAGGACAAUAAGAUGAGUCCCAUUUAACCUGGGCAUUGUGUUUGGCCCCUCUGAUGUGGCCCCGGCCCACUAGGGCCACAGUGUCCCUGUCCUCUCUUGUGGACUACCCCAUCAGGCCCGCAUCAUAGAGACUCUAUAGUCUUUUACACAGCCAUCUUCCAGUCCUCCAGCAGUCACCCAUUCUCCACCCAACAGACUGUCGGUGCAAGUAUAGAUGAGAACAGCAGUGCUGCGGUAGCUGAUGUAGAGGAACAGGAUGCCAAUGAGGAACAGAGCAGAACAGACUGACAAUAUGGAGGGCUGUGGUGAGUCUAACCACACUGUCAAACAGGAGAGCAAGGUCAGCACAGAAGAUGACCAACUGAGCUGCAAGGAUAGCCUGAAACUCUCCAGACAGUCUCUACCUCAGACUGACCUGGUUCCAGGCCAGGAGAGUCCUGGUCCCGAUGCCUUGGACCAUGAGCCCCCAGACCUAGAGGCGUCUGAGCUCAACGUGAAUCAGUCCAACAACCAUGUUGGGGCGGCAGCGUAGCCUAGUGGUUAGAGCGUUGGACUAGUAACCGGAAGGUUGCGAGUUCAAACCCCCGAGCUGACAAGGUACAAAUCUGUCGUUCUGCCCCUGAACAGGCAGUUAACCCACUGUUCCCAGGCCGUCAUUGAAAAUAAGAAUCUGUUCUUAACUGACUUGCCUGGUUAAAUAAAGGUAAAAUUUAAAAAAAUGUUCUGGGCAGGUCAAAGGUUAGUCUGCUGCCCAGGGACAGGGAGCCAGUUUGUGUAAACACAGCCUGUGCAAUGUAUCAACCACAAAGGCUUUACGGUGUGUUAAGUGUACUUCCAGUCUGGUGGAUUUUACCAUGAAUCUUGGUUUUAACUUUGGCAUUAGAAUGUCAUGUAAUACUACACGACACAUUCAUUCAGCUGCCUGUGACUCGAAUGAAUUGCAAAAAUCGCCGAAGUUGGAGACUUAUCUCCCUCAACAAUUUCAAACAUCUGAUCGCUGCAUAGUCUAUCGGUAAAUAGCCCACCCAAUUUUACUUCAUUCCCAUACUGUUUUAUUUACUUUUCUGCUCCUUUGCACACCAAUACCUGUACAUGACCAUCUGAUCAUUUAUCACUCGUGUUAAUCUGCAAAAUUGUAAUUAUUCGCCUACCUCAUGCCUUUUGCACACAAUGUAUAUAGACUCUUUUUUUUCUGUGUUAUUGACUUGUUAAUUGUUUACUCCAUGUGUAACUCUGUUGUCUGUUCACACUGCUAUGCUUUAUCUUGGCCAGGUCGCAGUUGCAAAUGAGAACUUGUUCUCAACGAGCCUACCUGGUUAAAUCAAAAAAUCUUGGACACUUAGUUAUAGCUGUUUUCUGUCAGCAUUAAUUCUAGUUAUAACAAGCUGACUUAAUAUUGAAAAUAAUCUGCCUUACAAAUUGGCAUAGCGAUAAUCUAGUUUAAAAGUAUUUACAUUGCUCUUAUGCUUGAAUAGUGAGUUAUUUGUCGUGUGAUUUAAGAUAAUUAUUCCAGGUAUUCAAAGUGCUGCUGGUUUUUAUUUCAGCACUAAAAUCCAACUUCAUAUCUUAACAGUUAUGUUGGAUGUAUUUGUCUAUGCUGAAUUCACUGUUUUGACAUUGUCAGUAAAGAGAAUGCUAUUAAAUGUUGACUUAUGCCUUGUAAAACAA